CGAUAGCAUUCCCCAUCAAACUGCCCCCAGAAAGGAAUGGUGGAAGUUUAGAGCAAGGCCAGCCACCAGUCUAGAGCAACCUGCUCUGAAGGAGCAGCCUGCAGGGGAUCCCCAAUCGGUAUCUAAACAGCCAGAAUGCAUUGUGGCUUGGGGUGACCAGUCCAAGGUGACUGCACAGGGAGAGGAUCACAAGAGGCAGGAGAGCGCAGAAGUGCUCUGUUAGCCACCCAAGAAGCUUACCUUACAGAGUAACCACCCCCUCCACACCCGCCCCCACCCACAGUGUGACACACUGCUGUCCAGACUGACAGAAUUGCAGGAAAAGUACAAGGCCAGCCAGAAGGAGAUGGGGCAGCUGCAGAUGGAGCAGUGUGAGCUCCUGGAGGAUCAGAGGAGGAUGCAGGAGGAGCAGGGCCAGCUGCAGGAAGAGCUGCACAGGCUCACACUGCCACUGCCAAAGAGUGGCCUCUUACUCAAGAGUCAGGAGCUACUCACCAAGUUAGAAGACCUGUGUGAGCUGCAGCUGCUCUACCAAG
This 536-nucleotide long non-coding RNA is filed under the name Homo sapiens (human). RNAcentral describes it as "long non-coding RNA NONHSAT123259.2". The record is from RNAcentral. Lineage: Eukaryota; Metazoa; Chordata; Mammalia; Primates; Hominidae.